RNAcentral lists this ribosomal RNA (253 nucleotides) under uncultured bacterium. Its description in RNAcentral is "partial 16S ribosomal RNA". It matches the Rfam family "Bacterial small subunit ribosomal RNA", at positions 524 to 776 of the family's 1533-position model. The record is from RNAcentral.
UACAGGGGGGGCAAGCGUUGUUCGGAAUUACUGGGCGUAAAGGGCUCGUAGGCGGCCAACUAAGUCACACGUGAAAUCCCCAGGCUUAACCUGGGAACCGCGUGUGAUACUGGAUGGCUUGAAUUCGGGAGAGGGAUGCAGAAUUCCAGGUGUAGCGGUGAAAUGCGUAGAUAUCUGGAGGAAUACCGGUGGCGAAGGCGGCAUCCUGGACCGACAUUGACGCUGAGGAGCGAAAGCUAGGGGAGCAAACGGG